UACGGGGGGGGCAAGCGUUGUUCGGAAUUACUGGGCGUAAAGGGCUCGUAGGCGGCCAACUAAGUCGGAUGUGAAAUCCCCAGGCUUAACCUGGGAACUGCAUCCGAUACUGGAUGGCUUGAAUCCGGGAGAGGGAUGCAGAAUUCCAGGUGUAGCGGUGAAAUGCGUAGAUAUCAGGAGGAACACCGGUGGCGAAGGCGGCUUUCUGGACAGAUACCGACGCUGAGGCACGAAAGCUAGGGGAGCAAACAGG
RNAcentral lists this ribosomal RNA (253 nucleotides) under uncultured bacterium. RNAcentral's name for it is "partial 16S ribosomal RNA". It matches the Rfam family "Bacterial small subunit ribosomal RNA", at positions 524 to 776 of the family's 1533-position model. The record is from RNAcentral.